AGUUCUCUCAGCUGUAGAAAGUAGUUGUGACAUUACCGGUGCCAAGCUGUAUCAGUUUUUGUCUUUCCUUUGGAUAACAUUUGUGGUGUAGAGAGGGAAGGCUUGUAUACAUGGGCAACUGCUGGUCUUCCAUAAACAACCUUGCCUGGUCUUGUGCCUCAGAGAUCCGAAGAGC
Molecule: long non-coding RNA, 175 nt
Organism: Octopus sinensis (East Asian common octopus)
Lineage: Eukaryota; Metazoa; Mollusca; Cephalopoda; Octopoda; Octopodidae
Exons: 3
Source: RefSeq, a predicted model, not a curated record